CUUACAUCUGUUGGCUAAACCCAGACAAUAAUUUUGGAUUGGUGGUCUUCUGAAUUUGCAACUCAUUCCCUUCAUGUCUGCAAAGGAUCUUUUUCCACUUACAUAUCAUUUGGCUUUAUUCAUGUCCUCUUGCCUCUCUGGAGAGAAGAGUUAAAAUGAAGAAGGAAACCAAAUAUUAAUUUUCCCUUAAAAGAAUGGGUUUGUUACUUUUGAAAUCCUUGUUGCUAUGAAAUUGGCCAGAGAGAGAAUGACUGUUCCCUUUCUUGAAAAUAGAACAGACAAAAAUUCUGAUCUCUCUCUCCCUCUUUCUCUCUCUCUCUCUCCAUGCAAUCCUUUAUUAGGGGGGGAAGGAGGAGAAGGGAAACGAUGUUAUCGGAGGAGCUCUAUCUUCUUGGCUCUAGGUACAACAGGAAGCGGAUGUGAAGUCCUGUGCGGUGUCCUCUCCUUCCCCUGUCUCUAUGGUUCUCGGUGUUGGCGCCGGGAGGCGGGAGGGAGGCGCGAGGGUGCAUUUCUCUGCCUUCGGGACCUCUUGGGAGGAGGUGGGCGAUCCGGAGGGUGUGUGUGCGCGUGUGUGUUUGUGUAUGUGUGUGUGUGGAGGGGUUUGGAAGAGCUAAAAAGAGAUGGCAGGCGGGGGGGGGAGAUUUCCAAAAAAAGAGAAAUUAAAUCUCCACUCCUGGGGGGGAGAGAAGAGGGAAAUCUCCUCCCUUCCCCCUGGGUCUGCUUUGCAGGAAACAAUGACCUUGGAAGGCUGGCCUUUUUCUUUCUGGGUCUUCUCCUUGGGGACCUAGGAAGGAGAGAGAGAUGGGAUGUGUGCGUUGGGGGAUCCAGAUCCUCCCCCCCCCACAUGCCCCUUCCCAUCAAGGUCCCCUAUGUGCGUGUGGAGGGGUUGGGAAUCGCAUGGUCCUCCGCUUUCCUGCGAGGAGACCUCCCUCCUUCCCCCAAAUCCUGCCUGUGUGGGGUGGGUGGCAAAGGGGGCUGGAGAGGAAGGGCUAGCCUCUGGGGGGGGCC
This 1008-nucleotide long non-coding RNA is filed under the name Pogona vitticeps (central bearded dragon). Its description in RNAcentral is "lncRNA (ENSPVIG00000004036.1)". The record is from RNAcentral. Lineage: Eukaryota; Metazoa; Chordata; Lepidosauria; Squamata; Agamidae.